AGCGAACGCUGGCGGCAGGCCUAACACAUGCAAGUCGAACGAAGCCUUCGGGCUUAGUGGCGGACGGGUGAGUAACACGUGGGAACGUGCCUUUAGGUUCGGAAUAACUCAGGGAAACUUGUGCUAAUACCGAAUGUGCCCUUCGGGGGAAAGAUUUAUCGCCUUUAGAGCGGCCCGCGUCUGAUUAGCUAGUUGGUGAGGUAAUGGCUCACCAAGGCGACGAUCAGUAGCUGGUCUGAGAGGAUGAUCAGCCACAUUGGGACUGAGACACGGCCCAAACUCCUACGGGAGGCAGCAGUGGGGAAUCUUGCGCAAUGGGCGAAAGCCUGACGCAGCCAUGCCGCGUGAAUGAUGAAGGUCUUAGGAUUGUAAAAUUCUUUCACCGGGGACGAUAAUGACGGUACCCGGAGAAGAAGCCCCGGCUAACUUCGUGCCAGCCGCCGCCGUAA
Molecule: ribosomal RNA, 449 nt
Filed under: uncultured bacterium
Lineage: Bacteria
Description: partial 16S ribosomal RNA
Rfam family: Bacterial small subunit ribosomal RNA
Source: RNAcentral